Molecule: ribosomal RNA, 456 nt
Filed under: uncultured bacterium
Lineage: Bacteria
Description: bacterial SSU rRNA
Rfam family: Bacterial small subunit ribosomal RNA
Source: RNAcentral
AUUGAACGCUGGCGGUAUGCUUAAGACAUGCAAGUCGAACGGUAACAGACCUUCGGGUGCUGACGAGUGGCGGACGGGUGAGUAACACGUGGGAAUCUACCUUGUAGUGGGGGAUAAGCCAGGGAAACUUGGACUAAUACCGCAUACGCCCUAAGGGGAAAGGCGCAAGUCGCUAUAAGAUGAGCCCGCGUCUGAUUAGCUAGUUGGUGAGGUAAAGGCUCACCAAGGCGACGAUCAGUAGCUGGUCUGAGAGGAUGACCAGCCACAUUGGGACUGAGACACGGCCCAGACUCCUACGGGAGGCAGCAGUCGGGAAUAUUGGACAAUGGGGGCAACCCUGAUCCAGCAAUACCGCGUGUGUGAAGAAGGCCCUGCGGGUUGUAAAGCACUUUUAGUAGGGAAGAUAAUGACGUUACCUACAGAAAAAGCACCGGCUAACUCCGUGCCAGCAGCCGC